GAUGAACGCUGGCGGCGUGCCUAAUACAUGCAAGUCGAGCGAACAGACGAGGAGCUUGCUCCUCUGACGUUAGCGGCGGACGGGUGAGUAACACGUGGAUAACCUACCUAUAAGACUGGGAUAACUGCGGGAAACCGGAGCUAAUACCGGAUAAUAUAUUGAACCGCAUGGUUCAAUAGUGAAAGACGGUUUUGCUGUCACUUAUAGAUGGAUCUGCGCCGCAUUAGCUAGUUGGUAAGGUAACGGCUUACCAAGGCAACGAUGCGUAGCCGACCUGAGAGGGUGAUCGGCCACACUGGAACUGAGACACGGUCCAGACUCCUACGGGAGGCAGCAGUAGGGAAUCUUCCGCAAUGGGCGAAAGCCUGACGGAGCAACGCCGCGUGAGUGAUGAAGGUCUUCGGAUCGUAAAACUCUGUUAUUAGGGAAGAACAAAUGUGUAAGUAACUAUGCACGUCUUGACGGUACCUUAUCAGAAAGCCACGGCUAACUACGUG
This 497-nucleotide ribosomal RNA is filed under the name uncultured bacterium. RNAcentral's name for it is "partial 16S ribosomal RNA". It matches the Rfam family "Bacterial small subunit ribosomal RNA", at positions 28 to 507 of the family's 1533-position model. The record is from RNAcentral.